AGACUAAAUGCAGGCGCAGUACGUGAUGGCUGGCUUCUUGCAUUACGACCCCGAGCCACAGCCCCCUGGCCGACAAGAGGGAUAUCAACGAGGUGCAAGAAUCCGUGAGGAUGUCAUGCGGCGUUUGUAAAGAAAGACAAAACUCAAGGUUCAUGUUUUAACUGCAUCUUUUAAUGAUUGUGCAAUUUCUUGCAUCACUUCUCUCAUCUGCCGUAGCUCAUCUGCAACCCCGUUGACAGCGUUUAUUGUCUCUCGCUG
Long non-coding RNA from Cyprinus carpio (common carp), 258 nucleotides. RefSeq lists it as uncharacterized. The transcript has 2 exons. Lineage: Eukaryota; Metazoa; Chordata; Actinopteri; Cypriniformes; Cyprinidae. The record is from RefSeq and is a predicted model, not a curated record.